AUUGAACGCUGGCGGCAUGCCUUACACAUGCAAGUCGAACGGUAACAGGUCUUCGGAUGCUGACGAGUGGCGAACGGGUGAGUAAUACAUCGGAACGUGCCUAGUAGUGGGGGAUAACUACUCGAAAGAGUGGCUAAUACCGCAUGAGAUCUACGGAUGAAAGCAGGGGAUCGCAAGACCUUGUGCUACUAGAGCGGCCGAUAUCAGAUUAGGUAGUUGGUGGGGUAAAGGCCCACCAAGCCAACGAUCUGUAGCUGGUCUGAGAGGACGACCAGCCACACUGGAACUGAGACACGGUCCAGACUCCUACGGGAGGCAGCAGUGGGGAAUUUUGGACAAUGGGCGAAAGCCUGAUCCAGCCAUUCCGCGUGCAGGAUGAAGGCCCUCGGGUUGUAAACUGCUUUUGUACAGAGCGAAAAGGUUUCUACUAAUACUAGGAGCUCAUGACGGUACUGUAAGAAUAAGCACCGGCUAACUACGUGCCAGCCGCCGCAGUAA
This 498-nucleotide ribosomal RNA is filed under the name uncultured bacterium. RNAcentral's name for it is "partial 16S ribosomal RNA". It matches the Rfam family "Bacterial small subunit ribosomal RNA", at positions 30 to 523 of the family's 1533-position model. The record is from RNAcentral.